GGGGAAUAUUGCACAAUGGGGGAAACCCUGAUGCAGCGACGCCGCGUGAAGGAAGAAGUAUCUCGGUAUGUAAACUUCUAUCAGCAGGGAAGAUAGUGACGGUACCUGACUAAGAAGCCCCGGCUAACUACGUGCCAGCAGCCGCGGUAAUACGUAGGGGGCAAGCGUUGUCCGGAAUUACUGGGUGUAAAGGGAGCGCAGGCGGGAAGACAAGUUGGAAGUGAAAUCUAUGGGCUCAACCCAUAAACUGCUUUCAAAACUGUUUUUCUUGAGUAGUGCAGAGGUAGGCGGAAUUCCCGGUGUAGCGGUGGAAUGCGUAGAUAUCGGGAGGAACACCAGUGGCGAAGGCGGCCUACUGGGCACCAACUGACGCUGAGGCUCGAAAGUGUGGGUAGCAAACAGGAUUAGAUACCCUGGUAGUCCACACCGUAAACGAUGAUUACUAGGUGUUGGAGGAUUGACCCCUUCAGUGCCGCAGUUAACACAAUAAGUAAUCCACCUGGGGAGUACGACCGCAAGGUUGAAACUCAAAGGAAUUGACGGGGGCCCGCACAAGCAGUGGAGUAUGUGGUUUAAUUCGACGCAACGCGAAGAACCUUACCAAGUCUUGACAUCCCUUGACAGGCAUAGAAAUAUGUUUUCUCUUCGGAGCAAGGAGACAGGUGGUGCAUGGUUGUCGUCAGCUCGUGUCGUGAGAUGUUGGGUUAAGUCCCGCAACGAGCGCAACCCUUAUGGUCAGUUACUACGCAAGAGGACUCUGGCCAGACUGCCGUUGACAAAACGGAGGAAGGUGGGGAUGACGUCAAAUCAUCAUGCCCUUUAUGACUUGGGCUACACACGUACUACAAUGGCGUUAAACAAAGAGAAGCAAGACCGCGAGGUGGAGCAAAACUCAGAAACAACGUCCCAGUUCGGACUGCAGGCUGCAACUCGCCUGCACGAAGUCGGAAUUGCUAGUAAUCGUGGAUCAGCAUGCCACGGUGAAUACGUUCCCG
Molecule: ribosomal RNA, 995 nt
Filed under: uncultured bacterium
Lineage: Bacteria
Description: bacterial SSU rRNA
Rfam family: Bacterial small subunit ribosomal RNA
Source: RNAcentral